GCGCUUGUGGUGUCAACGGUCAGCACGCCGGUCUUCCAAACCGGUCGAGCGGGUUCGAAUCCCGCCGGGCGCA
Molecule: transfer RNA, 73 nt
Filed under: Gemmataceae bacterium
Lineage: Bacteria; Pseudomonadati; Planctomycetota; Planctomycetia; Gemmatales; Gemmataceae
Description: tRNA-Gly
Rfam family: tRNA
About the family: Transfer RNA (tRNA) molecules are approximately 80 nucleotides in length.
Source: RNAcentral